This 2776-nucleotide ribosomal RNA is filed under the name Escherichia coli. RNAcentral describes it as "partial 23S ribosomal RNA". It matches the Rfam family "Bacterial large subunit ribosomal RNA". Lineage: Bacteria; Pseudomonadati; Pseudomonadota; Gammaproteobacteria; Enterobacterales; Enterobacteriaceae. The record is from RNAcentral.
CCAGUGUGUUUCGACACACUAUCAUUAACUGAAUCCAUAGGUUAAUGAGGCGAACCGGGGGAACUGAAACAUCUAAGUACCCCGAGGAAAAGAAAUCAACCGAGAUUCCCCCAGUAGCGGCGAGCGAACGGGGAGGAGCCCAGAGCCUGAAUCAGUGUGUGUGUUAGUGGAAGCGUCUGGAAAGGCGCGCGAUACAGGGUGACAGCCCCGUACACAAAAAUGCACAUAUUGUGAGCUCGAUGAGUAGGGCGGGACACGUGGUAUCCUGUCUGAAUAUGGGGGGACCAUCCUCCAAGGCUAAAUACUCCUGACUGACCGAUAGUGAACCAGUACCGUGAGGGAAAGGCGAAAAGAACCCCGGCGAGGGGAGUGAAAAAGAACCUGAAACCGUGUACGUACAAGCAGUGGGAGCCUCUUAAUGGGGUGACUGCGUACCUUUUGUAUAAUGGGUCAGCGACUUAUAUUCUGUAGCAAGGUUAACCGAAUAGGGGAGCCGAAGGGAAACCGAGUCUUAACUGGGCGUUAAGUUGCAGGGUAUAGACCCGAAACCCGGUGAUCUAGCCAUGGGCAGGUUGAAGGUUGGGUAACACUAACUGGAGGACCGAACCGACUAAUGUUGAAAAAUUAGCGGAUGACUUGUGGCUGGGGGUGAAAGGCCAAUCAAACCGGGAGAUAGCUGGUUCUCCCCGAAAGCUAUUUAGGUAGCGCCUCGUGAAUUCAUCUCCGGGGGUAGAGCACUGUUUCGGCAAGGGGGUCAUCCCGACUUACCAACCCGAUGCAAACUGCGAAUACCGGAGAAUGUUAUCACGGGAGACACACGGCGGGUGCUAACGUCCGUCGUGAAGAGGGAAACAACCCAGACCGCCAGCUAAGGUCCCAAAGUCAUGGUUAAGUGGGAAACGAUGUGGGAAGGCCCAGACAGCCAGGAUGUUGGCUUAGAAGCAGCCAUCAUUUAAAGAAAGCGUAAUAGCUCACUGGUCGAGUCGGCCUGCGCGGAAGAUGUAACGGGGCUAAACCAUGCACCGAAGCUGCGGCAGCGACACUAUGUGUUGUUGGGUAGGGGAGCGUUCUGUAAGCCUGUGAAGGUGGCCUGUGAGGGUUGCUGGAGGUAUCAGAAGUGCGAAUGCUGACAUAAGUAACGAUAAAGCGGGUGAAAAGCCCGCUCGCCGGAAGACCAAGGGUUCCUGUCCAACGUUAAUCGGGGCAGGGUGAGUCGACCCCUAAGGCGAGGCCGAAAGGCGUAGUCGAUGGGAAACAGGUUAAUAUUCCUGUACUUGGUGUUACUGCGAAGGGGGGACGGAGAAGGCUAUGUUGGCCGGGCGACGGUUGUCCCGGUUUAAGCGUGUAGGCUGGUUUUCCAGGCAAAUCCGGAAAAUCAAGGCUGAGGCGUGAUGACGAGGCACUACGGUGCUGAAGCGACAAAUGCCCUGCUUCCAGGAAAAGCCUCUAAGCAUCAGGUAACAUCAAAUCGUACCCCAAACCGACACAGGUGGUCAGGUAGAGAAUACCAAGGCGCUUGAGAGAACUCGGGUGAAGGAACUAGGCAAAAUGGUGCCGUAACUUCGGGAGAAGGCACGCUGAUAUGUAGGUGAAGCGACUUGCUCGUGGAGCUGAAAUCAGUCGAAGAUACCAGCUGGCUGCAACUGUUUAUUAAAAACACAGCACUGUGCAAACACGAAAGUGGACGUAUACGGUGUGACGCCUGCCCGGUGCCGGAAGGUUAAUUGAUGGGGUUAGCGGUAACGCGAAGCUCUUGAUCGAAGCCCCGGUAAACGGCGGCCGUAACUAUAACGGUCCUAAGGUAGCGAAAUUCCUUGUCGGGUAAGUUCCGACCUGCACGAAUGGCGUAAUGAUGGCCAGGCUGUCUCCACCCGAGACUCAGUGAAAUUGAACUCGCUGUGAAGAUGCAGUGUACCCGCGGCAAGACGGAAAGACCCCGUGAACCUUUACUAUAGCUUGACACUGAACAUUGAGCCUUGAUGUGUAGGAUAGGUGGGAGGCUUUGAAGUGUGGACGCCAGUCUGCAUGGAGCCGACCUUGAAAUACCACCCUUUAAUGUUUGAUGUUCUAACGUGGGCCCCUUACCGGGGUUGCGGACAGUGUCUGGUGGGUAGUUUGACUGGGGCGGUCUCCUCCUAAAGAGUAACGGAGGAGCACGAAGGUUGGCUAAUCCUGGUCGGACAUCAGGAGGUUAGUGCAAUGGCAUAAGCCAGCUUGACUGCGAGCGUGACGGCGCGAGCAGGUGCGAAAGCAGGUCAUAGUGAUCCGGUGGUUCUGAAUGGAAGGGCCAUCGCUCAACGGAUAAAAGGUACUCCGGGGAUAACAGGCUGAUACCGCCCAAGAGUUCAUAUCGACGGCGGUGUUUGGCACCUCGAUGUCGGCUCAUCACAUCCUGGGGCUGAAGUAGGUCCCAAGGGUAUGGCUGUUCGCCAUUUAAAGUGGUACGCGAGCUGGGUUUAGAACGUCGUGAGACAGUUCGGUCCCUAUCUGCCGUGGGCGCUGGAGAACUGAGGGGGGCUGCUCCUAGUACGAGAGGACCGGAGUGGACGCAUCACUGGUGUUCGGGUUGUCAUGCCAAUGGCACUGCCCGGUAGCUAAAUGCGGAAGAGAUAAGUGCUGAAAGCAUCUAAGCACGAAACUUGCCCCGAGAUGAGUUCUCCCUGACUCCUUGAGAGUCCUGAAGGAACGUUGAAGACGACGACGUUGAUAGGCCGGGUGUGUAAGCGCAGCGAUGCGUUGAGCUAACCGGUACUAAUGAACCGUGAGGCUUAACCUU